AACGAACGCUGGCGGCAUGCCUAACACAUGCAAGUCGAACGAGACCUUCGGGUCUAGUGGCGCACGGGUUCGUAACGCGUGGGAACCUGCCCUUAGGUUCGGAAUAACUCCCCGAAAGGGGUGCUAAUACCGGAUAAUGUCUUCGGACCAAAGAUUUAUCGCCUUUGGAUGGGCCCGCGUUGGAUUAGCUAGUUGGUAGGGUAAAAGCCUACCAAGGCGACGAUCCAUAGCUGGUCUGAGAGGAUGGUCAGCCACACUGGGACUGGGACACGGCACAGACUCUUACGGAAGGCAGCAGUGGGUGAUGUUGGACAGUGGGGGAAGGCCUGAACCAGCAAUGCCGCGUGAGUGAUGAAAGCCUUAAAGUUGUAAAGCUCUUUUACCCGGGAUGAUAAUGACGGUACCGGGAGAAUAAGCUCCGGCUAACUCCGUG
RNAcentral lists this ribosomal RNA (433 nucleotides) under uncultured bacterium. RNAcentral describes it as "partial 16S ribosomal RNA". It matches the Rfam family "Bacterial small subunit ribosomal RNA", at positions 29 to 507 of the family's 1533-position model. The record is from RNAcentral.